GACGAACGCUGGCGGCGUGCUUAACACAUGCAAGUCGAACGGAAAGGCCCGGCUUUCACUGUUCUCGAGUUGGGAACGGGUGGGUAACUCGUGCGUGAUCUGCCCUGCACUUCGGCAUAAGCCUGUUAAACUGAGUGUAACACCGGCCGGGUACCAUAUUUAGCGUCAUGGUUGGAAAGUUUUUUCGGUGUUGGAUGAGCUCGCUACCUAUCUGCUUGUUGGUGUGGCAAUGGCCUACCAAGGCGGCGUCGGGUAGCCGGACUGAGAGGGUGGACGGCCACAUUGGGACUGAGGUACGGCCCAGACUCCUACGGGGGGGAGCAGAGGGGAAUAUUGACCAAUGGGCGCAAGCCUGAUGCAGAGGCGCCGCGUGGGGGAUGACGGCCUUAGGGUUGAAAACUACUUUCGCUAGUGACGAAGCUUUUUGUGACGGUACCUAGAUAAGAAGCACCGGCUAACUACGUG
Molecule: ribosomal RNA, 465 nt
Filed under: uncultured bacterium
Lineage: Bacteria
Description: partial 16S ribosomal RNA
Rfam family: Bacterial small subunit ribosomal RNA
Source: RNAcentral